RNAcentral lists this ribosomal RNA (497 nucleotides) under uncultured bacterium. Its description in RNAcentral is "partial 16S ribosomal RNA". It matches the Rfam family "Bacterial small subunit ribosomal RNA", at positions 28 to 507 of the family's 1533-position model. The record is from RNAcentral.
GAUGAACGCUGGCGGCGUGCCUAAUACAUGCAAGUCGAGCGAACAGACGAGGAGCUUUCUCCUCUGACGUUAGCGGCGGACGGGUGAGUAACACGUGGAUAACCUACCUAUAAGACUGGGAUAACUUCGGGAAACCGGAGCUAAUACCGGAUCAUAUAUUGAACCGCAUGGUUCAAUAGUGAAAGACGGUUUUGCUGUCACUUAUAGAUGGAUCCGCGCCGCAUUAGCUAGUUGGUAAGGUAACGGCUUACCAAGGCAACGAUGCGUAGCCGACCUGAGAGGGUGAUCGGCCACACUGGAACUGAGACACGGUCCAGACUCCUACGGGAGGCAGCAGUAGGGAAUCUUCCGCAAUGGGCGAAAGCUUGACGGAGCAACGCCGCGUGAGUGAUGAAGGUCUUCGGAUCGUAAAACUCUGUUAUUAGGGAAGAACAAAUGUGUAAGUAACUAUGCACGUCUUGACGGUACCUAAUCAGAAAGCCACGGCUAACUACGUG